UGCAAGUCGAGCGGAAACGAUGAAGAGCUUGCUCUUUAGGCGUCGAGCGGCGGACGGGUGAGUAAUGCUUGGGAAUAUGCCUUAUGGUGGGGGACAACAGUUGGAAACGACUGCUAAUACCGCAUAACGUCUACGGACCAAAGGGGGGGAUCUUCGGACCUCUCGCCAUUUGAUUAGCCCAAGUGAGAUUAGCUAGUAGGUGAGGUAAGAGCUCACCUAGGCGACGAUCUCUAGCUGGUUUGAGAGGAUGAUCAGCCACACUGGGACUGAGACACGGCCCAGACUCCUACGGGAGGCAGCAGUGGGGAAUAUUGCACAAUGGGGGAAGCCCUGAUGCAGCCAUGCCGCGUGUGUGAAGAAGGCCUUCGGGUUGUAAAGCACUUUCAGUUGUGAGGAAAGGGGUGUCGUUAAUAGCGGCAUUCUGUGACGUUAACAACAGAAGAAGCACCGGCUAACUUCGUGCCAGCAGCCGCGGUAAUACGAGGGGUGCAAGCGUUAAUCGGAAUUACUGGGCGUAAAGCGUACGUAGGCGGUCUAUUAAGCAAGAUGUGAAAGCCCAGGGCUCAACCUUGGAACUGCAUUUUGAACUGGUAGACUAGAGUACUGUAGA
RNAcentral lists this ribosomal RNA (610 nucleotides) under uncultured bacterium. RNAcentral's name for it is "bacterial SSU rRNA". It matches the Rfam family "Bacterial small subunit ribosomal RNA", at positions 56 to 655 of the family's 1533-position model. The record is from RNAcentral.